Molecule: ribosomal RNA, 264 nt
Filed under: Klebsiella pneumoniae
Lineage: Bacteria; Pseudomonadati; Pseudomonadota; Gammaproteobacteria; Enterobacterales; Enterobacteriaceae
Description: partial 23S ribosomal RNA
Rfam family: Bacterial large subunit ribosomal RNA
Source: RNAcentral
GGGUUGUGAGGUUAAGCGACUAAGCGUACACGGUGGAUGCCCUGGCAGUCAGAGGCGAUGAAGGACGUGCUAAUCUGCGAAAAGCGUCGGUAAGGUGAUAUGAACCGUUACAGCCGGCGAUGUCCGAAUGGGGAAACCCAGUGCAAUUCGUUGCACUAUCGUUAACUGAAUACAUAGGUUAACGAGGCGAACCGGGGGAACUGAAACAUCUAAGUACCCCGAGGAAAAGAAAUCAACCGAGAUUCCCCCAGUAGCGGCGAGCGA